UUAAAAAAAAUUCCCUUCCAUCUUCUGCCUUCUUUCUCUUUUUUUCCUUUUUCCUUCCUAAAUUUCCGCUCUUCCAUAUUUACCCAAAGAAAUUGUCCUUGGGGGUUAUUCCGGGUUGGUGAGAAGUUUUAGGAUGGGAGGAGGAGGAGGAAUCCUUCGGCAUCAUCUAUAAGCGCUUCUCCCUCUCCCUCUUCGAGACCCCAUCCGAUUGCAUCCCUCUUUCCAGCUCCUCCUUCUCUGAACCCCUCGCCGAGGGCUCCCGCAUCGCGCGUCUCAUCUCCAAGAGUUAAUUGGGGGAGCUACGUUAUAACCUCGAUCGAGAGGGUGCUCGAGGGGUUGUUAUGUGAGCUCGAGGUGUUGUUCUGUGAAUCAAAAACCAUGGCCGGAGAGAAUUAUGUCUUGGUCUGAGACGAGCUCGGCUUGGCUUCUACAAUCUGUAUGAUUGCAGUGUAGAAAUUUUCUUGGAUUUGUUCUAUUCUAGAAAAGAGAAGAAAUUUUGACUAAGUGAAGGAUUGAGUCUGUCACCACUGUGAGAAAAAUUGUGAUAAAAGAUUCGAGAGGAUGUAGUGGAAGGAGUCGAGGGAGUUCAAUCCCCCUCUCUUGCUUUAUAGCAGCGGGUUAUCAAAUAUAUUUUUUAUUUUUAUUUUU
This is a long non-coding RNA of Elaeis guineensis (African oil palm), 648 nucleotides long. RefSeq lists it as uncharacterized. Lineage: Eukaryota; Viridiplantae; Streptophyta; Magnoliopsida; Arecales; Arecaceae. The record is from RefSeq and is a predicted model, not a curated record.